AAUGCAUUGAUUUGUAAACGAAAUACAGGUAAAGACAAUUUAGAAUCAGCAGAAAAAGAAGUAGAUUUGAAUGGGUUAACAGAAGACAAAUCAGAUUUAAAUGAACAGUGUAACAAUGUAACAGAGAGAACAUUGUCAGAAAAAGUCUGUGAAUUAGAGGAUAGAGUUGAACUAAGAAAUGAUCUUAUUUGCCAGCUUAGAAAUGAAGCUAAACUAGUGUGUGUUAAUACAAGAAAAAUAAAGGCACAGAAUCUAAUCCCAGAACCAAUAGAUACUGAAAAUGUAUCCUCAC
Pelobates cultripes (western spadefoot toad) is the source of this 292-nucleotide non-coding RNA. NCBI's taxonomy places the organism in Eukaryota, Metazoa, Chordata, Amphibia, Anura, Pelobatidae. The record is from the annotation of a GenBank genome assembly.